UACGUAGGGUGCGAGCGUUGUCCGGAAUUACUGGGCGUAAAGAGCUCGUAGGUGGUUUGUCGCGUUGUUCGUGAAAACCGGGGGCUUAACCCUCGGCGUGCGGGCGAUACGGGCAGACUUGAGUACUGCAGGGGAGACUGGAAUUCCUGGUGUAGCGGUGGAAUGCGCAGAUAUCAAGAGGAACACCGGUGGAGAAGGCGGGUCUCUGGGCAGUAACUGACGCUGAGGAGCGAAAGCGUGGGGAGCGAACAGG
Molecule: ribosomal RNA, 253 nt
Filed under: uncultured bacterium
Lineage: Bacteria
Description: partial 16S ribosomal RNA
Rfam family: Bacterial small subunit ribosomal RNA
Source: RNAcentral